This 335-nucleotide unclassified non-coding RNA is filed under the name soil metagenome. RNAcentral describes it as "partial contains 5.8S ribosomal RNA, internal transcribed spacer 2, and large subunit ribosomal RNA". The stretch from base 1 to 120 matches the Rfam family "5.8S ribosomal RNA", at positions 35 to 154 of the family's 154-position model. The record is from RNAcentral.
GAUGAAGAACGUAGCGAAAUGCGAUAAGUAAUGUGAAUUGCAGAAUUCAGUGAAUCAUCGAAUCUUUGAACGCACAUUGCGCCCGCCAGUAUUCUGGCGGGCAUGCCUGUUCGAGCGUCAUUUCAACCAUCAAGCCCCCGGCUUGUGUUGGGGACCUGCGGCUGCCGCAGGCCCUGAAAACCAGUGGCGGGCUCGCUAGUCACUCCGAGCGUAGUAAUACAUCUCGCUCAGGGCGUGCUGCGGGUUCCGGCCGUUAAAAAAGCCUUAUUUACCCAAGGUUGACCUCGGAUCAGGUAGGAAGACCCGCUGAACUUAAGCAUAUCAAAAGCGGAGGA